GCCAAGACAGAGCUGGCGGGAGGCAGCGGCCCCAAAGUCAGGACCGAGGAGGGCCAGGCUGACUGCCAAGGAGGGCCGGGCUGGCUGCCAAGGUCAACCAGGUGGAGGCCUUCGGGGUUCGGCAAGAGCAGUUCUGUGAGCUGGCGGAGCCUGGCGUCUGCCUGCGUGACGUGGAGGAACCGCAGGCGGCGACCGCGGACAGAAUGUACAGGUUUCUGGGCGAGGAAUGGAGAAUGAGGCGGAGCUGGGCUGCAGGAGACGGAGGCAGAGAGAGACGGCCUGGCGGGAGAUGCAGGGGCCCGCGGCAGGGCCCUGGAAACUCCAGGCGGGAGGAGGGACGUGGUGGCGGGCGGGAGGGCAAGGGCUGGGGCCCGGGCUCAUUCCGCAGAGCCUGCGGGUACAGCAGGCUGAGGGGUCAGCCUGAGCACAGGGAGCUGAAUAGCGAGCCCCGCCCGGCAGGGGAAAUGAAGGGAGGGUGGUGUGAGAGCGUCUGCCAGGGGCAGAAGGACACCGAGGGACGGCAAGCAGAGCCGAGGGAGUGCGCGCUGGCCCCGGAAGAGAGUGCGCUGGGCUGGCUGCUGAGCUACCCUCCGGAGCUGCAGGGGCUCGAGGGGCUGGAAAUGCUGCGGCAGAAACUGGAAGGCCCGUGCCUAGGUUGGCUUAGGAGUAGAGGGGUGCACCCUGGUCAACCCUGCACCUCCGGGGCGCCACGCGCUCGCUGGCGGGAGGGCGGAGGGAGGCGGGAAGGAGACGCUAAGGCGCUGCGAUCCCGGACGCGCAGCCCUCUCUCUAGGCGUGGAGGCUGCUGGAGCCGCCGGGCAGCUUCUCGGCGACUCCACGCGUGAGUGCAAAGAUGCUGCAGGGAGGCAGCGCUCACAAAAGCAGCUCCGCUCACAAAAAUACGGCCACACCGAGCAGACGUCUGCUUUGACACCACUCGACCCUGCCAAAAAGAGCAAUUAAUGGGAUCAGAAGGGCGGGAGGUGGGAGGGAAGGCGGGGAGCGGGCAAUGAGCAGAGCCUGGCUUUCUAUCCCAGGACAGCGUGGUGUUCUCAAGGGAAUUUAGACAAACAUUUCGUCCUAACCUCAACAACAGGUCCUCGUGAGUCCUCAUACAACCUAUCCUUAGGCGGUAACAGGCUGCAGCUGUUGAAGUCUAAUUUCACUGUAUUGAUUGGUACUUUCAAUGGAAUGCUUUCUGAUUAAUUCUGUGCCUUUAGUUUUACCCUGGACAUGUUUCAAGACAAUGUAUUAAUAGGACUCUGGUGUUACGUAUUCAAUCAAUUUAUAGAUGAAACCCAGAAAACUCAAAUAUGGUUAGAGGACUGGAUUAAAUGAUAUUUACUUUGGCAAUAGAGAAAUAAAAGUAUACUGAACUGAUGGAAAUAUUCUAAAACUAUAUUGCAGUGAUGGUUACACAACUCUACAGAUUUACUGACAAUAGGUGAAAUAUGUAGCAUGUUAAAAAUACCAGCUGUUAAAAAUGAAGAAAAAGUCUAUCAGUAAAAAAAUAAAUACGUGUCUAACUGGAAGAAGACAGGAUACAGAGGCAGGGGGGAAAGAGGGUAGGGGGGCUAAGACCCUCAUUCACAUCGUGGUGUGGCAGUUAAUACAGUCUAAGUUUACAGAACAAGAAAUUCAAGUUCAAGCAUAUUGCUUAAAUCUAGUUAACCUAUAGGAAAACUAAGUAUAAUAAUAUAAGCACAGCAAAGUAGAAGGAAGAAGACAAGUAGCCUUAAUCAGCUAAACCUUCCUCUUUUAUAAUGGAAAGCCACUGCAAAAGAAAUCGAGGUUGAUAAAUACAGAAGCUCGGUAAGUGUAUUAUUACUUAAAAUUUUGAAUUUUGAAAGGAACUCCCCAAAAAUCUAAAAAUGCUUAUUGUUAAAAAAAAUUUUUUUUUGAGAUAGGAUCUCUCUUUGUCACCCAGGCUGGAGUGGAAUGGUGUGAUCAUAGCACACUACAGCCUCUCUAACUUUGUAUAUUUUCUUUCAAGAAAUGUUUAUUCAUGUCCUUUGCCCACUUUUGGAUGGGAUUAUUAUUAUUAUUAUUAUUUUCCUGCAGAUUUGUUUGAGUUCCUUGUAGAUUCUGGAUACUAGACCUUUGUUGGAUGCAGUUUGCAAGUAUUUUCUCCCACUCUGUGGGUUGUCUGUUUACUCUGCUCAUUAUUUCUUUUGCUAUGCAGAGCUUCUUAGUUUAAUUAGGUCCCAUUAAUCUUUGUUUUUGUUGAAUUUGCUUUUGGGGUCUUAGUCAUGAAUUCUUUGCCUGAGCCAAUGUCCACAAGAGUUUUUCUGAUGUUAUCUUCUAGAAUUUUUAUAGUUUCAGGUCUUAGAUUUAAGUUUGAUAUUGUUUAGAUCUGUGUCCGGGUCCGCACCAAAUCUCAUGUUGAAUUGUAAUCCCCAGUGUUGGAGGUGGAGCCUGAUGAAGGGUGACUGAGUCAUGUGGGUGGCAUUCUCAUGAAUGGGUUAGCACCAUCCUCUUGGUGCUGUUCUCAUGAUAAGAGUUCUCAGGAGAUCUGGUUGUUUAGAAGUGUGUGACACCUCCCCACCAUCUCACUCUCUCUUCUUUCUGCUCCAGCCAUGUAAGACAUGCGUGUGCCUGCUUCCCCUUUGCCUUCUGCCAUGACUGAAAGUUUCCUAAGGCCUCCUCAGAAGCCGAGCAGAUGCCAGUAUCAUGCUUCCUCUAAAGCCUGUGGAACCAUGAGCCAAGAUUUACAGUACUAUGUUGAAUAGAAGUGGUGAGAGAGGGCAUUCUUGUCUUGUUCCAGUUCUCCAGAGGAAUGCUUUCGACUUUCCCCCAUUCAGUAUGAUGUUGCAUAUGGAUUUGUCAUAUAUGGCUUUUACUACUUUCAGGGUUUUUCAUGGGCCGAUCUGCUGAAUUCAGCCUAGGAGCUGAGGCCAACAUCUGAGUCUCUUCAGCAUAUAAGUUUGAAAGAAGUCCUAGCAACUUCAAGCUUAGAACUACGGGUGGCAGCAGCUCCCUCUUGACGUCGAAGCCUCCCAUACCAGAGAGAGCCAAGGCCCGGAUCAAAAAAAGCCCACAAGCACCGAUGACUGAGCUGCUGACUACCCCAGCAUCUCCAACUCAACCUACUCUUUCUGCCUCUACCCAAAUUUUAAAACUUUUAAACAUGGGUUUAAAAAUGGUAAUGAGUAAAGUUGCAUCCAAGUGUAUCAAAUAAAAUUAAAUAUCCAUAAAUGCUGUAAUAAUUCCUGCUUUGAUGCUGAACUAAAGAAUUUUCUGCUGGGCGUGGUGGCUCAUGCCUGUAAUCCCAGCACUUUGGGAGGCCAAGGCAGGUGGAUCACAAGGUCAGGAGUUCAAGACCUGCCUGGCCAACGUGGUGAAACCCCAUCUCUACUAAAAAUACAAAAAUUAGCUGGGCAUGGUGGCAGGCAUCUGUAGUCCCAGCUACUCAGGAGGCUGAGGCAGGAGAAUCACUUGAACCCGGGAGACAGAGGUUGUAGUGAGCCAAGAUGGCACCACUGCACUCCAUCCUGGGCAACAAGCGAGAUUCCAUCUCAAAAGAAAAGAAAAAAAGAAUUUUCUGUUUAUAUUACAUAUAGUCUCACUUCAUAUUUCAUUUCUCUCACCUCUGAUACCUGGAGUCCUUGGCUAGUACUGAAAUUGAGUAAAGUCAUUCUCAUGAGUUUUAGUAAACUCAAAACUCAAACCUCAUGAAGUUGGCAAAACUCAAAGAAUGCUUUGGUCUAGUUUGACAUUGGCCAGUAUGUUUUUCAUAUCCAGUCAUUCCUUUUUUCCUGGCUGACAUCCUCACUUCCUGCCUGUGGAGGAAAAGUUAAAUAUUAAAUUUGAACUCAAUUGAAUGUGGACACAAACAAUGGUCACCAAGUCCGGGAACAGGUUGUGUGAGUCCCUUGAGGCAUUUAUCCUGCCCUGUUUCGGAGAAAUCUCUAUUUCAAACUAUCCCUAUGUGUUACUUACUGAAAAACAACAGACAAUCGCAAAAACAAGUUGACCUUUUUGUGUUCCUUGAGCCCAGUCACAAAGGGCCCUCAUGACUGGGCCUCAUGCCAAACAACUUGUUACAAAAAGAGCUAGGGUCCCAGACCGCACCAAAGCCCCAUGAGACCUCUCCUCAUCUGUGCACGGACUGGUGGCCGACUCUGGAGCCCAGGCUGUUGCUUCCUGGUCUGGUGAUGAAUCCUCCAUAGUCUGGAAAGGGGUCUCCAGUCACCUCUUGUGAGGAGAUGCGUCCCACUGCCUCAUUGAGGUGGCCUCAGGGUGAGGGAUCAGGACCCACCUGGUGCAACGAAUAAACCCAGACUCUCAGCAACGCGAGGAGAAAAAGUCUUGCAACACCGUGGUGACCAAGUAACUCUGUGCACAUACUAAGGAGGCAGCACUCGGGGAAGCAGCACCAAGGCAGGCAUCGUCAUUCUGCAUACGCAGGCCUUGACUGGCAGCAGAGC
Molecule: long non-coding RNA, 4427 nt
Organism: Gorilla gorilla gorilla (western lowland gorilla)
Lineage: Eukaryota; Metazoa; Chordata; Mammalia; Primates; Hominidae
Exons: 5
Source: RefSeq, a predicted model, not a curated record